GGAGGUGUGCCAGAGCGGUCGAAUGGGGCGGUCUCGAAAACCGUUGAAUCGUUUUUCGAUUCCGGGGGUUCGAAUCCCUCCACCUCCG
This 88-nucleotide transfer RNA is filed under the name Fodinibius salicampi. RNAcentral describes it as "tRNA-Ser". It matches the Rfam family "tRNA". From Rfam's summary of the family: Transfer RNA (tRNA) molecules are approximately 80 nucleotides in length. Their secondary structure includes four short double-helical elements and three loops (D, anti-codon, and T loops). Lineage: Bacteria; Pseudomonadati; Balneolota; Balneolia; Balneolales; Balneolaceae. The record is from RNAcentral.